UAACUCUUCAGUUCUACACAACACCGGCACGGGUAUUUUUGGAAACCUAUUGUAAAGUUUUGACGACCAGAAAAACAUCAACAAUAUACUACAACGACUAUGACGACUACGUCGCAAUCUUAAAAUAUACUCUAAGUAUCUUCUGUACAUUCUCAAUUUACUCUUCCAUAAUGGUUACAAAAGAUAAAAGUACGUACUACCGAUUGAAAAUAGUCCACUAGCAUCCAUCUCUUUACUUCUUGUAUAGUUUUUGUAGCUAUGAAACCCAUGUGAUCAAAAAGAAUACGACAGAUCACUAUUAACGAGCUUACUUUAGCUAGUUUGGGUCUUCUUAACCUUCUGUAGUUCCUCCCUUUUGUCUGGCCAGAACUUUACUUCAAAGAUAUCAACAAACUCUUCAUGGGAUAUUGAAAAAUGGCGGCGGCAAAAGUCUUUUCAGUUAGUACCAUGUGAUUAUCAAAGUGCCUAACUAAUUAUUUGGUGAGCAUACGUUAUCUGGUAAAGAGUAUUUCUAGAACCUAAUAUUGAGUAAAUCAUACGACCAGAGCCGCCCAAGACCUGAGUAGUUUGAAUCAGUUAGGCAGCUAGUGAAGAUCUAGCUCGAUCCAAGCGGAUAUGUAUUUUAUAGGUUAUUUAAAUAUAAGAAUCCAAAAAUAUGAAAGUAGUAUUUUAUAAAGGGAUCUAGAAUUUACCAUUUUCGUAAUGGCUUCUCUAAAGCUCUAAUCACAUUAAACCGGCCGUGGUUAGGACGGAACAUAAAUUGUUAGAAGGCUUUCUAUCUAGCAACAGAUGGUAGAAAUUGAUUUACGAGAAGUCACGGGGACAUUAGUUUUUUUCUCCUUUCACAGAUACGCUCCCCCAAAAUAUAUAUAUUUCUUAAUUAGAUAUGGGCUACGGCAAUAUUGGUAAACGAAAAUGUGUUAGACGUAAGAAAUAAGGGACGAAUUAGGAGGCAAAACCAGAGUUAAAACAAACUCGAUGACCAAUAGAAGAGCUUCUUUCUCAAGCUGUUGCUUUUGAUUAAAAGAAAAGUUGGUUGUGUAAAGACAAGCAACCAAAGGAUCAAACUUGCCUCAACUAAUUUAGGUAUUUAAAUGAAAAUAGCUA
Molecule: long non-coding RNA, 1107 nt
Filed under: Brassica rapa (field mustard)
Lineage: Eukaryota; Viridiplantae; Streptophyta; Magnoliopsida; Brassicales; Brassicaceae
Description: long non-coding RNA (BRAP_LNC007887)
Source: RNAcentral